This is a long non-coding RNA of Sus scrofa (pig), 5225 nucleotides long. RefSeq lists it as uncharacterized. NCBI's taxonomy places the organism in Eukaryota, Metazoa, Chordata, Mammalia, Artiodactyla, Suidae. The record is from RefSeq and is a predicted model, not a curated record.
AGCAGUGAAAACACUGGAUCCUUAACCCACAGAGCCACCUAUUGCUUCUACCACACUGCCUCACAGCCCGUGUUCAAGGGUGCAAGGAUGACAGGGAGUGGAAAGGGCCGGGAAAGGGUGGCUUGGCCUGGGCUGAACAUUUUUUUUUACCUCCAGGCUUAGAGUCAGACUCCUCCGUGGGUCAGGUCUGGGGGCAUGAACUGGUCCUUGGGUUAUCAGGUAACCUGUUUGGCCUCCCAGAACCAGGAUAUCAGCCAUGUCUACAGCCAGCCAUACAUGGCAUUAUUGAAGAGCAAGGAUGAUGGGACACACACACACACACACACACACACACACACACACACAUGAGCACAUCCCUCCAAACAACGGCUUGGUGAAGACCAGCCACAGAGGCUCCAGAGUCGCUCCCAGUCAGGAUCAAGUGGAAAGGUCCUGCGUGGGGCCUGGCGAGAGGCAGCGCGGCUGAUUCCAAAACAGUCCCGGCACGGACUUUGGCCGGGACGAAGAUAGGCAGGCUUAGAGAGGAGGAUGGAGAGGAGGAUGAAGUCGAAGAGGACGGCAAGCUCCUCCCUGCCCCGGGAUCUGAGUCCAGACACCGUCUGGAGGUAGACUUCUGGGAACUACUUGGGUGUUGAGAAUUGCAGCACCUCGGCCCCCAUGCUGCUUACCGAGAACGACAUAUUUUCUGCCUGAGGGCAGACUGCAAACCAGGCAGCUUCUACGACCCACUGUGGAGAUGACCCCAGAGAGCUGUGACCGCGCGGACCUUCUCUCCAUAUCCGAAGCUCUGCUGUGAGCAGGGAAGGUGGUGGUGGUGGGGGGUGUCCAGAUGUGGGCAGAUGCUUCCAGAGCAUCGUAACACCAUUAGGAAAAGGGCAAGUAUAUUGAAUCUCUGCACUUGAAGGAAGAAAGGCUUUUGAGGUCGUUUAAUAAAACCAGCUCAUCUUCCAGAUGUGGAAACUGGGGACCAGAGAAACUGAUUUACCCAAAGCCACAAGGGGAAGUCAGAGCAGAGUCAAAAUUAACCUGUCUCUACACUGCCCAGUAUUUGGAAUCCUAAAGAACCUACCAUUUCAAGACACACACGGAAGAAAUAGGAAAUGCCUUUGUAUCUUAUGGCGGUAACAAAGAACUAUACAUUUAGUAGCUUAGACAACACGAGUUUAUUAUCUUUCAGUUCUGUAAGGCAACAUAGGUCUAAUGGGCUAAAUUCCAAGUGUUUGUAGGACUUCAAUUUUUUUUUUUUUUUGAAGGCUCCCAAAGGAGAAUCUGUUUUCUUGCCUUUUCCAGUUUCUGCAGCUGCCUGCAUUGCUUGGCUCAUGGCCCCUUCCUCCAUCUUCCAAGCCAGCCAUGGUGCAUGGAGUCCUUGCCCUGCAUCACUCUCACCUCCUCUUCUGCCUCCUUCUUCUACUAUUAAGGACCUUCUUCUACUAUGGUUAUAGUGGGGCCACUGGGAUAAUCUUCCUAUCUUAAGACCAGCUAAAGAGCAACCGUAAAGCCUCUUAGCCUUAUUCACAUGUUCCCUGGAUUAUGAGGUGAACGAACAUCUCUGGGAGGAGAGGAUCAUUAUUCUGCCUACCCCAGGGAGUAGAGAAAUGGGAGCAAAGGCCAACUCCUUCUCUUGCUUUCUUAAUUUCUCUAAUUCUCUGUGGCCAGAAAAAUUAGUUUAAGAGAUCCUAGAUCUCUGAAUUCAACCUCAAGCUUCUCUUCUGAGCCAUGAUCUGGUUAAUUUGGUCAAGACACAAAGGAAAGGAAAAAUGCCAAAAUUUAUAGAAAAGAAGCCUCCCAAAUGUUGGAUAAAAUGGGAUGCGGCCAAUGGAGGACCUCACUAGUUUCUAAGGGCCUGAGAACUUCCAGGGUUCAAGGGUGCGGGCUUAAUUUGCCAGAGGAGGGAGUUUACAAGAGAGAUCUAGAUGGAAUCCCUGACUUCAAGGCCUACUGGUCAUUAAAAUCAGUAAGCCAGAGGAGGAAAAGGGAAGGAACGUCCUUCUGGUCAAUUUUAGGAUGGAAUCAACCAAUUUCAGGUCUGGACGGUUUCUCAGACUCCUGGCCUCUCAAGGGUUGAAAUAAAAGGCCUUAGGAGGUUCUGUGUUUGAAUUCACGCCUAAUGUAAGGUCCACUGUAAGACCUUUGACGGUCCACUGUCCCCUGCUUUGUGAAGCCCUGGCCAGAGGUAGGAAAUUGGCUAGAUUCCCGUUGGUAUCCUCUAGUUCUUGAAAUCUAUGAUUUUCCAUGAAUCCCAAUUUUACCACUAGUUAUCCCUUCUGAACGUUUCUCUGCCAGGAUGGUAGGAUGUAGACCGUUGGUCUAUUUUCAUAUGGAGAGUUUGAGACCUCAGACUACAUGCAGUAUUUACCCUUCACUUAUGGGACUGUGAGGAUAAGGAGGAAGAGCCCAGGGUGGUCAUCUUACCAGCAUCAACCAGAAGCACCCUUCCCCACCCCUCUUGGUAAGAGACCCUGUCUUCUGUUCACAUGGACACAUGACCCAGGAGAGCCAAUCAUAUGCUUCAUCACUGCGGCUGGGCCAAUCAGGAGCAUUCUUCAGAGAUUGUUCUCCAGUCCCUGGGGGACCUGGGAGAGGAAACUCCCUUCUGCUCAGAUCUGUGAGCUGUGAGGAGGUGGGUUUUGCCCAGGGCCACGUCCCCACUCCUGGAGGAGCUGGUCUGGGAAAAUGGCAUCAGGCAUGAGUGAAAAGGAGAGAGUGAGUAUCCUGAGGGUGUAUUUAGGUCUCUCAAUCCAACCGUACUUUUCUAUGGUUGGGUUAUGUGAACAAAUACAUUUCUUUAUUUCUUUCAUUUUUGCUUUCUUUCACUUAUUUACUGUUUAAUGGCUGCAUCCAUGGCAUAGGAAAGUCCCCAGGCUGGGGACUGAACCCCAGACACAGCGGUGACCUACUGUGCCAGAUUCUUUAACCCACUGUGCUGCUGGGCUGGGGAUCGAACCCGCAUCUCUGCAGUGACUCAAGCCACUGCGCCACUGGAUUCUUAACCCACUGCGCCAUGGUGGGAACUCCUAAAUUUCUUUUUGAGGCUUAAACUAGCUCAAGAUGUGGUUCUUCCAUCUGCAACCCAUGAGUCCUAAAUAAUUUAGGAUGUUUCUCAUUUUUCCUGUUUUCUAGAGACUCUGAAAAGUAAACUAAAGAUCAGAAACUAUUAGUCUCAGAGCCCAACCUGUCCAUAAUGGUCUGGGGAAGAAUCAGUAGGAAGAAAGAGUGGAUGGUCAUGCAGGUUGAGAAAUGAAGGUUCUUGUGUGAAGCCCAGUGAGAUGGGAUCCACGAGUGAUUCCUGGGGUCCCAUUCUCUCUGCCCCUUUUGGACCUCAGCUUGGCUGGAGUAAAUCAUGGCCCCAAUCUCACAUCCAUUCUGGCCAAGCUCCAGGUCCCAAAGGGCCAAAGGGAGUGUUUUUCUACUUUGUGGACAUGGUGCUGUUUGUUUGGUGUAAGUCAGAGGUAUAGAGAGUACUCAAUAGAUUCCCUGAUAACCCCAAGGCGAAGGGGUGGGAAGCGAGAAGAAUAGAAGGUGAGGAGAGAGAAGCAUGACUCCACUAAUGAGAUGCGGACUGAAUCUCUCCUAGGAGUGUAAGGUUGUGCCAGUUUCAACUUGUCAUGACAAAGCACCAAGCAGAAACCUUAUUGUGAAGACAGACGCUGAGAGUUAGGUGUGUCUGUUGGAAGAAAAACGCACACCCAGGUGGGAACGGCAAGCUGCAAAGUAAAUGGACAAUUACUCACGAAGGCUGUUAAGGAAGGAACAAGGAUGAAUGGGCCCACAUUUAAACUCGAUGUUAAGUUAAAACAUAUGGGAGUUUUGUUUUUUUGUUUUUUAAUAUUCAUUUAAAGCGUGGAACUGUCUAUUCAAAGAGGCUGUGGUGUCUUUCUCCGAGGGAGGCUGUAGAGAGAAUAGUUUAGACUGCCUUGUGGCUGCUUCACAGGCUUGAUUACAGGUCUGCAGCUUGGCCCAUCACAUCUGCUUUUCAGUAUCACCGUGGGGGAGGGCAGUUGGUCCCUUUGGACUCUUAAACGUAAUCUGUCUAAGACUUUUGCAUUUUUUCUCCUGGCAGAGUUAGUUUCUCAUGUUUGUUUUGUGAAGAAAGGGCUUUAUAUAUAUUAUGUCUAUCCAUAUAAUUUUUUUUUCCACAGUAAACAGUUGAACAAAAUGUACACAAUGUUGUCCAAACUUCUUAAGUGUUCCCAGAUUUGGAGAUAGUGUUUAUUUAUGCAGCUUUCGGAAAGUCCGAAUGGAUCGGAAAGGUCAGAAGUUACCUCAACUUUUGACUCUGCUCUGCAGAUCACACAUGCUCUGUGCAUUGUUUUAUCUUCAAAACGGGAAAACGAGGAACCAUUCUUUGGCCCUAUCUUGCUCCCAGGGCUUUUCCCCUCCUGCAGACGGUGCCACCACCCGCGAGCUUGAAAACACCGCAGGAAACCAUCCCGGUAUUGUGAGCGGACUAAUCGCCCCAUACCACUCGCUUUUCCUUCCUGGACUGCGUCACGGGCUGUAGCCCUGUGGUUCCCACAUUGUUUCUGUCAUCAUCCCAAGGAGUAUAACUCUUGAUGCUGAGCUUGGGCAGGACAGCCUGUCUCAGCGUGAGCUCUUAUGUAAGUGGCUGUGGGGAGAGCUGGCAAUAAACAAACAUUUUUCCAGCCAUUGUUUUCCCUGCAGUCUUGAAACAAUCUCCCCCCCCUCCCCCCGGGCUGCUGCUGCUCUCCUGCUCCAGGAGGGCAGAUUCCCAGCUUAGAAAUGUCUUGCACUGAAUUUCUGGAUUCUAAAACCAGAACAAAGUGAGCCACAGUGUUCAAAGAAAUUAUUGAGCACGGGGAUGUUUAGAUGGGUUUCUCUGCAAGGGGAUCUGAGAUAGCAUUUCAGGAAGCUUGUCCACUCAUCUGUGCUGCUGGUAAGUUACAUGGUCCUCCAGGGCCACGGAUGGGGAAGCAGCAGAUGAUGGGAACUAGCCUGGGAAUGGAGAAGUGAUUUCACGGCUACCAAGUCCUGACUUCCAGUGUCUAAGUCAGACUCACUGCAUGAAAAGAGUCCAUACACGUGAGAGACAUGGGUCUAUCUGCAGAAUCCAUCCUCCCUUGGGCCACUCCAUCUUAGAAACUCAAAGAAGGGACAAGGUACAAUAGCUGCCUUAAAACACUCUGCCUCAGGAGUUCCCAUCGUGGCUCAGCGGUAAUGAACCUGACUCGUUUCCAUGAGGACAAGGGUUCGAUCCCUGACCUUGC